CACUCCUCUACUCCUUAUAUGCUGUCCUGGUGCACAGUGGUGUCAGCUGUCAUGGAGGACACUAUUUCUGCUACACAAAGGUCAGCAAUGGAUUGUGGUACCGGAUGGAUGAUGAAUCUGUGCAGCUGUGUUCCAUUGACACAGUUCUCAGGCAGCAAGCCUACCUGCUGUUCUAUGCCAGAUGCUCUGAUCUGAGAAUUGGAGAAAGGCCUUCUUCCUCACUGGCACCAUCACAUGCCCCUUCCUUCCUCAGUCAGUGUGUGGCCAGCAGCAAGCAGGCGGGCUCUGUUGGAC
Molecule: long non-coding RNA, 294 nt
Organism: Pseudopipra pipra
Lineage: Eukaryota; Metazoa; Chordata; Aves; Passeriformes; Pipridae
Exons: 3
Source: RefSeq, a predicted model, not a curated record